Molecule: ribosomal RNA, 474 nt
Filed under: uncultured Alphaproteobacteria bacterium
Lineage: Bacteria; Pseudomonadati; Pseudomonadota; Alphaproteobacteria
Description: bacterial SSU rRNA
Rfam family: Bacterial small subunit ribosomal RNA
Source: RNAcentral
GAGUUUGAUCCUGGCUCAGAACGAACGCUGGCGGCAUGCCUAACACAUGCAAGUCGAACGGGAUCCGGACUUCGGUCUGGUGAGAGUGGCGGACGGGUGAGUAACGCGUGGGAACCUGCCCAAUGGUCUGGGAUAACCGCGGGAAACUGCGGCUAAUACCGGAUAAGCCCGAGAGGGGAAAGAUUUAUCGCCGAUGGAGGGGCCCGCGUCCGAUUAGGUAGUUGGUGAGGUAACGGCUCACCCAGCCGACGAUCGGUAGCUGGCCUGAGAGGAUGAUCAGCCACACUGGGACUGAGAUACGGCCCAGACUCCUACGGGAGGCAGCAGUGGGGAAUAUUGGACAAUGGGGGCAACCCUGAUCCAGCAAUGCCGCGUGAGUGAUGAAGGCCUUAGGGUUGUAAAGCUCUUUUGGCGGGACGAUGAUGACGGUACCCGCAGAAUAAGCCCCGGCUAACUUCGUGCCAGCAGCCGCCG